AGGACGAACGCUGGCGGCGUGCUUAACACAUGCAAGUCGAACGGUGAAGCCCUUCGGGGUGGAUCAGUGGCGAACGGGUGAGUAACACGUGAGCAAUCUGCCCUUGACUCUGGGAUAACUUCGGGAAAACCGGAGCUAAUACCGGAUAUGACGCGCGGCCGCAUGGUCUGUGUGUGGAAGGAUUUAUUGGUCAGGGAUGAGCUCGCGGCCUAUCAGCUUGUUGGUGGGUAAUGGCCCACCAAGGCGACGACGGGUA
This 256-nucleotide ribosomal RNA is filed under the name uncultured bacterium. Its description in RNAcentral is "partial small subunit ribosomal RNA". It matches the Rfam family "Bacterial small subunit ribosomal RNA", at positions 26 to 285 of the family's 1533-position model. The record is from RNAcentral.